AACGAACGCUGGCGGCAUGCCUAACACAUGCAAGUCGAACGAAGCCUUCGGGCUUAGUGGCGCACGGGUGCGUAACGCGUGGGAAUCUGCCCUUGGGUUCGGAAUAACAGUUAGAAAUGACUGCUAAUACCGGAUGAUGUCUUCGGACCAAAGAUUUAUCGCCCAAGGAUGAGCCCGCGUCGGAUUAGCUAGUUGGUGAGGUAAAGGCUCACCAAGGCGACGAUCCGUAGCUGGUCUGAGAGGAUGAUCAGCCACACUGGGACUGGGACACGGCCCAGACUCCUACGGGAGGCAGCAGUGGGGAAUAUUGGACAAUGGGCGAAAGCCUGAUCCAGCAAGGCCGCGUGAGUGAUGAAGGCCUUAGGGUUGUAAAGCUCUUUUACCCGGGAUGAUAAUGACAGUACCGGGAGAAUAAGCCCCGGCUAACUCCGU
RNAcentral lists this ribosomal RNA (432 nucleotides) under uncultured bacterium. Its description in RNAcentral is "partial 16S ribosomal RNA". It matches the Rfam family "Bacterial small subunit ribosomal RNA", at positions 29 to 506 of the family's 1533-position model. The record is from RNAcentral.